CUGAAAUCAAGUGGGACUACCCGCUGAACUUA
RNAcentral lists this ribosomal RNA (32 nucleotides) under Utharomyces epallocaulus. Its description in RNAcentral is "partial 28S ribosomal RNA". Lineage: Eukaryota; Fungi; Mucoromycota; Mucoromycetes; Mucorales; Pilobolaceae. The record is from RNAcentral.